This 497-nucleotide ribosomal RNA is filed under the name uncultured bacterium. RNAcentral's name for it is "partial 16S ribosomal RNA". It matches the Rfam family "Bacterial small subunit ribosomal RNA", at positions 28 to 507 of the family's 1533-position model. The record is from RNAcentral.
GAUGAACGCUGGCGGCGUGCCUAAUACAUGCAGGUCGAGCGAACGGACUAGAAGCUUGCUUCUCUGAUGUUAGCGGCGGACGGGUGAGUAACACGUGGAUAACCUACCUAUAAGACUGGGAUAACUUCGGGAAACCGUAGCUAAUACCGGAUAAUAUUUUGAACCGCAUGGUUCAAAAGUGAAAGACGGUCUUGCUGUCACUUAUAGAUGGAUCCGCGCUGCAUUAGCUAGUUGGUAAGGUAACGGCUUACCAAGGCAACGAUGCAUAGCCGACCUGAGAGGGUGAUCGGCCACACUGGAACUGAGACACGGUCCAGACUCCUACGGGAGGCAGCAGUAGGGAAUCUUCCGCAAUGGGCGAAAGCCUGACGGAGCAACGCCGCGUGAGUGAUGAAGGUCUUCGGAUCGUAAAACUCUGUUAUUAGGGAAGAACAUAUGUGUAAGUAACUGUGCACAUCUUGACGGUACCUAAUCAGAAAGCCACGGCUAACUACGUG